AUGAAGGGAAUUUUUCUGUACACGACGACGCACCGCAUGCCGAUCGGACCCGUCGUGCACACACGCAUUAUUGCCUUAUUAUUGUGGUCAUGGCAAAGCAUAUGCACCAGCAGAACACCCACACUAGCUAGUAUCCGGUGCAAGCAAGCAAGCAAGCAGGGAUGGAGCUCCUCAGAUGGAGAUGCUGUUGGGGAUGCCCCUGGCCGUGAGCCCCUCGGCCUGGCCCGUGUGGUCGGAGGUGUUGGGGUAGAGCAGCAUGUAGGGGAACUUGGCCGGCCCGGUGCGGUUCUUGAGCCGCGGGUCCCCGUUCAUGGCCACCACCUGCUUCUCGAUGCCCUCCAGCCUCGCCCCGAACCGCCUGAACGCCUCCUGCGCCUUGGCGUCCGACGUCCACGCCGGCGUGUCGUGCUGCCCCAGGUACACCUCGUCGGAGGAGUGCUUGGACAGGAUCUCCAUCAGCGAGAUGCCCACCAGCGCCUGGAACUGGUUGGUGAUGGUGAGGAUAAAGGCCUUCUCCGGGUCGCGCUCCAGCAGGGCGUACUCCUCGCUGCCCGGCGCCGGCAUCGGCCGCCGGCUCGCCGACGGCUUGUUGGGGUGGUACCCCGAGUAGGGGUACUGCCCGAAGUUGACGGCCGCGUGGAGCGCCGACCCGGUCCAGAUGAUGGUGGCGCAGGCCUUGAUCAGCUCCGCCACCGUCUGCAUCUUGGGCCACCACGCCGCGUCCUUGAGGUCGCCGUGCCCGACCUCCCGCACCUCCUUCCACCACGCCUGCAGCUCCACGUCGCCCUGCAGCACGCCGUCGUCCGGGUAGUAGAUGGUCAGGUACUCUGUCACCCACUGCUCGAUGGCGUGCCACACCGCCAGCCCGUCCGCCGCGUACGGGUAGUCCUCGAUCAGGAGCCGCACCUUGUGCGGGCUCGAUGGGUCCUCCACUGCCAUGCCCCUGCAUCAUCAAGAUCGAUUAAUCAUUGCUGCCACAUCGUCGGGCAGAGCUUGUUCGGUGAAGUUCCAGUUCUUGUAGACCAUGGAGGACAUGGGCAUGGCGUGCUUGCGCGGGAACACGGUCAUCUCGAUGACGCCGCCGGCGUUGAUGAGCAGACCCCGCGCCCGCGCGUUGAUGUUCAUGGUGUCGCGGUAGUGCGGGUGCAGGAGCUUGUACACCGGGUGGGUCACGCUCAGCUGCCUGUUGGUGGCGAUGACGAAGGGCUCCAUCACAGCGUGCGUGUUGAGCCAGUGGCUGAUCAGCUGGUGCCAGCCGUAGUCGUUCACGGAGGCGUAGGCCUUGGCGAGCUGCCAUAUCCAGCCCUCCACGCCGGCGUGCUGCGGCGUGUACACCGUGCUCUUCGCGGUGGUCAGGUCGCCCUGGAUCAGGGGCGAGCUCAGCUCGAUGGCGACCGGCGCGAGCGUGCCGUCCCCUCGCAGGAAGAGCAGGGUCCGGGUCGCGUACACGAAGCUGCCGUCGAGGUUGUUGAUGUCGACCAGGAACGGCAUCAGGUUGUCGUGCUGGUCCACGAUGUAGAGCCUGUUGCCGGCGAGCGCCUGCUCCACGGUGAGGCCCUCGAGGCUCUUGCCGAUGUGCGCCUCCGUGAUGGUGCUGGUGUGGUCGCCGUACUUGCUCGGAUCAAGUGUACUCUUGGGAGGGAACUCCUGCACGCAGUCAAAUAA
This 1665-nucleotide ribosomal RNA is filed under the name Triticum aestivum (bread wheat). RNAcentral's name for it is "partial small subunit ribosomal RNA". The record is from RNAcentral. Lineage: Eukaryota; Viridiplantae; Streptophyta; Magnoliopsida; Poales; Poaceae.